UUGAACGCUGGCGGCAUGCCUUACCCAUGCCAGUCGAACGGCAGCAUGAUCUAGCUUGCUAGAUUGAUGGCGAGUGGCGAACGGGUGAGUAAUACAUCGGAACGUGCCCUGUAGUGGGGGAUAACUAGUCGAAAGAUUAGCUAAUACCGCAUACGACCUGAGGGUGAAAGUGGGGGACCGCAAGGCCUCAUGCUAUAGGAGCGGCCGAUGUCUGAUUAGCUAGUUGGUGAGGUAAAGGCUCACCAAGGCGACGAUCAGUAGCUGGUCUGAGAGGACGAUCAGCCACACUGGGACUGAGACACGGCCCAGACUCCUACGGGAGGCAGCAGUGGGGAAUUUUGGACAAUGGGCGAAAGCCUGAUCCAGCAAUGCCGCGUGUGUGAAGAAGGCCUUCGGGUUGUAAAGCACUUUUGUCCGGAAAGAAAUGGCUCUGGUUAAUACCUGGGGUCGAUGACGGUACCGGAAGAAUAAGGACCGGCUAACUACGUG
RNAcentral lists this ribosomal RNA (489 nucleotides) under uncultured bacterium. Its description in RNAcentral is "partial 16S ribosomal RNA". It matches the Rfam family "Bacterial small subunit ribosomal RNA", at positions 30 to 507 of the family's 1533-position model. The record is from RNAcentral.